RNAcentral lists this ribosomal RNA (498 nucleotides) under uncultured bacterium. Its description in RNAcentral is "partial 16S ribosomal RNA". It matches the Rfam family "Bacterial small subunit ribosomal RNA", at positions 30 to 523 of the family's 1533-position model. The record is from RNAcentral.
AUUGAACGCUGGCGGCAUGCCUUACACAUGCAAGUCGAACGGUAACAGGUCUUCGGAUGCUGACGAGUGGCGAACGGGUGAGUAAUACAUCGGAACGUGCCUAGUAGUGGGGGAUAACUACUCGAAAGAGUGGCUAAUACCGCAUGAGAUCUACGGAUGAAAGCAGGGGAUUGCAAGACCUUGUGCUACUAGAGCGGCCGAUGGAAGAUUAGGUAGUUGGUGGGAUAAAAGCUUACCAAGCCGACGAUCUGUAGCUGGUCUGAGAGGACGAUCAGCCACACUGGGACUGAGACACGGCCCAGACUCCUACGGGAGGCAGCAGUGGGGAAUUUUGGACAAUGGGCGAAAGCCUGAUCCAGCGAUGCCGCGUGCAGGAUGAAGGCCUUCGGGUUGUAAACUGCUUUUGUACGGAACGAAAAGCCCCGGGUUAAUACCCUGGGGUCAUGACGGUACCGUAAGAAUAAGCACCGGCUAACUACGUGCCAGCCGCCGCCGUAA